Suricata suricatta (meerkat) is the source of this 1663-nucleotide long non-coding RNA. RefSeq lists it as uncharacterized. Lineage: Eukaryota; Metazoa; Chordata; Mammalia; Carnivora; Herpestidae. The record is from RefSeq and is a predicted model, not a curated record. The transcript has 9 exons.
GAUCCCAGCACCAAACGGUGCCGUCUUUGAGAGUAGUGGCAUCUCAUUCAUCUUGUACUCCCCUGUUCUUCCACACACCUGGCACAUGGAAGGCUUCUAGUAAAUCCUGACAUUAACUGGACUGAAAGCACCCCCUCCCCACCUUGGUCUCCUGGCUUCCCAACCUAGUUUUCAACUGUGGAGUAACAUGAAGAGUGACCUAGGAGCCUGUAAGUCUCCUCCAUUGUAGUCAGAUAGAACCCAGACUGAAGACGAUGAAAGAACUCAGUCUCCCCAAACAUCAAGAAGUGACCUUUUCCUGGUGAGUGCAUUAAAGUGCAUUGUCUGUGAUACCCGGGAGCUGCUCAGAAGACUUAGUGAGUCCAGGAAUUUCUGAAAGGUGUAUUCUCCAGAUCCUUAGAAGCUUAUUCUUGAAAAUACCUUAAAAAUCAGCAUGAGACUUAGUCAUAAGAUGGAAACACCAUUUCAGUGACCUAAACCAACUGUUGACAAAGUAUUUUAAAUCCAAAUGGAAAAUUAUCUUCACAACUUGAAGUUUAUCUCCAAUGGAAGAAUUACUGAUGAGACAGUGGGUCACUCUCAAAAAGAUAUGUUGAAAUACAAUCCCUAUUGUUGCCGUAUUUGGAGAGUGCAACACCCUCAUGAAUGGGACCAGUGCCUUUAUAAGGAGAGGUCAGAGAGCCAGCUCACUCUUCUUCUGUCCCGUGAGGACACAACAAGAAGUUGGCAGUCUGCAAACUGGACAAGAGCUGUCACCAGAAUUCAAACAAGGUGGCACCCUGAUCUCUCCCCAGCCUUCAGAAACUACAAUGCUGCACAGUAUGCAACCACCAACCAAGAGAGGAUCUUUUUAGCAUUUUUGUCUGAACACAAAUGCCCUGAAGAAAAUAGAAGAGAAAUCCUGCCUGUGGUCAUAACUAAGCAGUAUGUGUCAUUUUAAUGGAAGCCAAAAUAGCCUGAGUGCCAACAUUUACAUGAAUGUCUGAGUUUCAAGUGAUGGGAGCAAGGUAAAUAAAACAUUAUGCUCUCCAGCAAGCCUGUCUGCAUAUUAAUGAGGUGCGGUCUCCAGGAAGCUGAUGCAACCUCUAGAGAGUAAAGAGGCACAGGAUUCUCACAACUGAACUGAGCAACCACUUCAGGAAUUUCAAGUGAAGGAGAUCUGGGAAAACCAAAGCCCUCCUGCCUGCCUCCUCACUGGCGGACACAGCAGCGCUCAGCUUUGGACUGGUCACCCCCUGCACGUGGGCGUCUCUGCAGCUGCAAAUUACCAGGCACCCAAGGUGGACUAUCAGUUGACUAUUAAGAGACUCCUCAAAUUUUGUCAUUUCCAGCCAAGUGCUCAAGUUGAGACAGCUGGGCUCUCCGUGGGAGAGAAUGGCACACCUUGGUGUCACUGAGGCUCUGAAUGAACCCGAUGAGGAUGGCUUCCUGCCCCACCUCUCACUUGCCUCAUCCACCACAUUCCCCUCUCUCUGGAUGGUGGCUCUUGGUUCUUCACCCAAAAAGUGUCUCCAGAGUGUAGCAACUGGGUGCAAAGCAUGCUUAUUACUUCAUGGCAUCCAUCACAGGAGUAAUGGCAGUGCAGGGAUUUUCUCUCUAUUUAUGUAAACACCACAUACUAUCCUUGAUUCUGCCACUUCUCUAAUAAAAUUGAAAAUCGUUA